RNAcentral lists this non-coding RNA (29 nucleotides) under Cricetulus griseus (Chinese hamster). The record is from RNAcentral. Lineage: Eukaryota; Metazoa; Chordata; Mammalia; Rodentia; Cricetidae.
GACUUUGAAGACGUGAUUGCAGAACCAGA